This 87-nucleotide transfer RNA is filed under the name Candidatus Berkelbacteria bacterium. RNAcentral describes it as "tRNA-Leu". It matches the Rfam family "tRNA". From Rfam's summary of the family: Transfer RNA (tRNA) molecules are approximately 80 nucleotides in length. Their secondary structure includes four short double-helical elements and three loops (D, anti-codon, and T loops). The record is from RNAcentral. Lineage: Bacteria; Candidatus Berkelbacteria.
GCGGACGUGUUGGAACUGGUAGACAAGCAGGCUUGAGGAGCCUGUGAGCGCAAGCUCGUGGAGGUUCGAGUCCUCUCGUCCGCACCA